UCGGGUGGGAGGCACCUGGUUCAUGUUGCAAACUAAUCUCAGCUCAAGUUCAGCAGUUCAGAAGGCGGAAGGGAAGAAAGCGGGCAUUAGCUAAACUCCUCUUGGUUCCUGGCAUGGAUAUGUUUCCCACACAAUGCCAAGCAUGCUUCCUGAGACCCUUAUGAAGAGUUUCUUCCCCUCGGUCUGCAGAUAAGAACACAGAGGACCCGAGGUGAAGAGGACUUGUUCAAGGACCAGAUUUAUUGCUCAUGGGUAUCAGAAUCAGCUCAUUUUGACACCAAACCCUGGCAUCUACAGAUUGCAAGUAACGCAUUUCUGCUUCUUGGGGAAGCUCAGACAGCUUCUCAUGGUGGGGCGAUCAGAACAUGACAACCCAUCUGUUCGGGGGAGAUCACUUCAUUUAAGGGCAUGGUAGUCUUGGACCGAGAGAUCUGCAGAUGAGGGGGGAUCACAGAAGAACACCUUGAGUGCGUCAAUGGGAUGUCCAGGUAGUCCUGAGAUGCUUCUGCUAAUGGUAAUCUUCUCCCCCUCCUCCUCCUCCCCCCUCUCGUUCUCCUCUUCCCUCCCCACCUCCUCCCUCCUCCUCCUUUCUCCUUUUUCAAUUGACCCUUGCUGAAUAUAUUGUAAAAUUAUGAGUUUAUUCCUUUGUCUUAACGGGAAGAGAUUCUUGUGAACAUCCCAAAUAUGUUUGCAUAUUUGUCCAGAGUUUGAGGUCAUUAUUCAGCACAUAACCCUUAGGGCCAGGACUGCAGGUGUAAACAGAGAAAAAAUAUCAGAGCGCACAGACUGAGGAGCCCUUGGCGUGACUGGAUCCGAUGGGUCUCCAGCUGUGUCCACGAUCCACGGAGGGGAUCUUAAGCUGCUGUAGCAGGUAAAGGAGGUCCAAGGGUCCCCUUCCCCUGCAUUGAGGAUAUCUUUUUUUUAUACCAGGGUUGUCUCAGCCAGAAAAUGUUGCUUGCAAGGAACAGAAACAGUUCACAGUUAAAAAAGUAAGGAGGGCAAAUGGAAUUCAAUGGAAAAAUGUAGGUUCAUUCUACAUAAAUGAAAGGAAAGCUCAACAACAACAAUAAUAAACAUAUAUUGAGCACCUACUAUCUGUCUGUCACUAUUCAAGAGCUUUACAUUAACGUAUGUAAGCUUUAGAACAAUACUAAAUAUGAAAGUGGACACUAUUAUAAUGCUGAUUUUAUAGCUCAGAAAACUGAGAUUCAGAGAGGUUAAGUAAUAAACCCAAGGUCACACAGCUAGGUAACAUCUUAGCCACGAUGUGAACACACAAAAUCUGGUUUCUGAGUCAAUGCUUUUGACCCCUAUGCUGAAAAACAAGAAGCAGGAAGGUAACGUCUAGUGCUCUAGGUGGAGAGAAGCAAAGAAUGAUCUCUUCAGGGACGUGGCAUGCAUGACAGGCUUAGUGUGGGAUGCCUGCCACCUUGUAACUGAGGAAGGGGAGGGUCUCAUGGCUGGAAGCUCCCCCAAACUACUUGGAAUGGGGGAGAGCCAUUUCUCAGAACAAAGGCCAACAGGGGGUUCCACAGAAGAUUAAGUGUGAAGCAAUAAACAACAACAAAAAAGAGUUCAACUACAAAAAGAAAAAAAAAAGAAA
Long non-coding RNA from Leptonychotes weddellii (Weddell seal), 1603 nucleotides. RefSeq lists it as uncharacterized. Lineage: Eukaryota; Metazoa; Chordata; Mammalia; Carnivora; Phocidae. The record is from RefSeq and is a predicted model, not a curated record.